Molecule: long non-coding RNA, 551 nt
Organism: Musa acuminata AAA Group (dessert banana)
Lineage: Eukaryota; Viridiplantae; Streptophyta; Magnoliopsida; Zingiberales; Musaceae
Exons: 2
Source: RefSeq, a predicted model, not a curated record
GACCCCGAAGGAAGGCAGACAGGACGGAGCCAGGCAACAAGAAGCAGGGCGGGCGAGUACGAAGAGGAGGGGGGGAACCGUCUCUUCUUCGUAUGUGCGAUAGGGUCGGCAUGCGGAUGAUCCACGGCGGGUCGCUCAUGAUCCCAACUAUUUGUUGUGGUCGGAGGGAUCGUAGCUUUUGAGACAAAUAUUCUCCCCUGCUGGAACUUGAUGUUUAGUAUAAUUGACAAGAAUGCAUCCUUAUGGCAGAGAAGUUUGCAUGCCAUUUGUGACUCUCAUUCUUGCUUUUGAGGUUUUCUUUUUUGCUGGUUGAGAUAACUUUUCCACAUUGGUGAUUCAUUUCACAUCAAGUCAAGGAAUUUUAUCUUUCUUUCAAAUGUGUCGGCUGUGAUGAACCUAUCAAUUCAGCAAACUAUUAUUGUGUUAAAGAAAUUUGAUUUAAGUAGGUGAGAGACUGAUCAUAGUGUUCAUGUAUAUAUUUUAGUCACAUAUCAUUUCUGCAAUGAGGAUUUUAGCAAUGGGUAGAUAUUGGUAACUUGUUCACUGAUUCA